This 1367-nucleotide unclassified non-coding RNA is filed under the name uncultured fungus. RNAcentral's name for it is "sequence contains 18S rRNA gene, ITS1, 5.8S rRNA gene, ITS2, 28S rRNA gene". Lineage: Eukaryota; Fungi. The record is from RNAcentral.
UGUUCGUGUCGCUCGGCGUGCUGCUGUAUCAAUACGCCCGCGCGAAGGGCCUGGACAUUCCCGGCAAAACUGACGAUCUCUUUCCCACGCUGGCGUUGACUCAGCUCGGCGCGUUCGCAGCCGUUGUGUUCAUAGUGGGCUUGACGGCCGCCACGUUUUCCAGCGCGGACUCGGUGUUGACCACCCUCACCACGUCCUUCUGCCUGGACCUGCUUGGCAUGGAAGAGCGCCAAGACCUGACGGACGCGCAUCGGACGGCAUUGCGCCACCGGGUCCAUGUUGGCUUCGCUGUGGUAUUAUGGCUGGUGAUCCUUGGAUUCCAGGCCCUCAACAGCAAGGCGAUCAUUGACGCCAUCUUCACGCUCGCGAGCUAUACCUAUGGACCGCUACUGGGAUUAUUUGCGUUCGGGUUGUUCGCCCGAUCAGUCAUCCGGGAUCGCUGGGUGCCGGUGGUGUGCUGCGCGUCUCCGGCGCUCUGUUUCAUCCUGCAACAAAACUCCGCGGCCUGGUUCCAUGGUUACAAGCUGGGGUUUGAGCUGCUCAUUCUGAACGGCCUGCUGACUUGUGUCGGGCUGUGGUUGAUCCGGGCAAAAACAGAGUCUCCGGCUGCACGAUGAACCUUCACGAGCAGUUUGACGCGUUGCUCAGGCGUCCCGGCCCCCUGCUUGCCCUCGCGCCGAUGCAGGACGUGACCGACGGCGCGUUCUGGAAUCUCAUGCACCGCUACGGCGGCGCGGAUGUUUACUGGACGGAAUAUUUCCGCGUCCAUGCGACGUCGCGACUGGAGACCUGGAUCGUUGAAUCCAUCGAACAUAACAGUACGGGCCACCCGGUGAUCGCGCAGAUGAUCGGCAACGACAUUCCAUCGCUCGUCCGCACCGUGAAGGAAUUGCAGCAACUCCCGGUCGCGGCGAUUGAUCUGAAUCUCGGCUGCCCGGCGCCGAUCGUUUACAAGAAAUGCGCGGGCGGCGGUCUGCUCCGCGAACCCCAACGGAUUGACGCGAUCCUCGGUGCAUUGCGCGAGGCGGUGACCGUCAAGUUUACCGUCAAAACGCGCGUGGGAUUCGCUUCGCCGGACGAGUUUGAGGCGCUACUGCCGAUCUUUGCGAAGCAUUCGAUUGAUUUGCUGACGGUUCACGCGCGCACGGUGGCCCAGAUGUAUCGCCUGCCGGUCCAUUACAAUUUGAUCCGCCGCGCGGCCGAAGCCAUGCAAUGCCCGGUCAUAGCCAACGGCCACGUCUAUUCGGCGGACCAGGCACUCGACGUGCUAGCUCAGACGAAGGCCCGAGGAUUGAUGAUUGGCCGCGGGGUGAUUCGCAGUCCGUGGCUCUUCAAUCAAAUCCGUCAGCGCCAGCGCGGCGAUCCAG